UGGGGAAUAUUGCACAAUUGGCGCAAGCCUGAUGCAGCCAUGCCGCGUGUAUGAAGAAGGCCUUCGGGUUGUAAAGUACUUUCAGCGGGGAGGAAGGGAGUAAAGUUAAUACCUUUGCUCAUUUACGUUACCCGCAGAAGAAGCACCGGCUAACUCCGUGCCAGCAGCUGCGGUAAGACGGAGGGUGCAAGCGUUAAUCGGAAUUACUGGGCGUAAAGCGCACGCAGGCGGUUUGUUAAGUCAGAUGUGAAAUCCCCGGGCUCAACCUGGGAACUGCAUCUGAUACUGGCAAGCUUGAGUCUCGUAGAGGGGGGUAGAAUACCAGGUGUAGCGGUGAAAUGCGUAGAGAUCUGGAGGAAUACCGGUGGCGAAGGCGGCCCCCUGGACGAAGACUGACGCUCAGGUGCGAAAGCGUGGGGAGCAAACAGG
Molecule: ribosomal RNA, 429 nt
Filed under: Chloroflexota bacterium
Lineage: Bacteria; Bacillati; Chloroflexota
Description: Chloroflexi bacterium partial 16S ribosomal RNA
Rfam family: Bacterial small subunit ribosomal RNA
Source: RNAcentral